AUGAACGCUGGCGGCGUGCCUAAUACAUGCAAGUCGAGCGAACAGACGAGGAGCUUGCUCCUCUGACGUUAGCGGCGGACGGGUGAGUAACACGUGGAUAACCUACCUAUAAGACUGGGAUAACUUCGGGAAACCGGAGGUAAUACCGGAUAACAUGUUGAACCGCAUGGUUCAACAGUGAAAGACGGUCUUGCUGUCACUUAUAGAUGGAUCCGCGCCGCAUUAGCUAGUUGGUAAGGUAACGGCUUACCAAGGCAACGAUGCGUAGCCGACCUGAGAGGGUGAUCGGCCACACUGGAACUGAGACACGGUCCAGACUCCUACGGGAGGCAGCAGUAGGGAAUCUUCCGCAAUGGGCGAAAGCCUGACGGAGCAACGCCGCGUGAGUGAAGAAGGUCUUCGGAUCGUAAAACUCUGUUAUUAGGGAAGAACAAAUGUGUAAGUAACUAUGCACGUCUUGACGGUACCUAAUCAGAAAGCCACGGCUAACUACGUG
RNAcentral lists this ribosomal RNA (496 nucleotides) under uncultured bacterium. RNAcentral's name for it is "partial 16S ribosomal RNA". It matches the Rfam family "Bacterial small subunit ribosomal RNA", at positions 29 to 507 of the family's 1533-position model. The record is from RNAcentral.